This 460-nucleotide ribosomal RNA is filed under the name uncultured bacterium. RNAcentral describes it as "partial 16S ribosomal RNA". It matches the Rfam family "Bacterial small subunit ribosomal RNA", at positions 338 to 795 of the family's 1533-position model. The record is from RNAcentral.
CCUACGGGUGGCAGCAGUGAGGAAUAUUGGUCAAUGGACGGAAGUCUGAACCAGCCAUGCCGCGUGCAGGAAGACGGCUCUAUGAGUUGUAAACUGCUUUUGUACAAGGGUAAACCUGAAUACGUGUAUUCAGCUGAAAGUACCGUAUGAAUAAGGAUCGGCUAACUCCGUGCCAGCAGCCGCGGUAAUACGGAGGAUCCGAGCGUUAUCCGGAUUUAUUGGGUUUAAAGGGUGCGUAGGCGGUCAGGUAAGUUAGAGGUGAAAGCUCGAUGCUCAACAUCGAAACUGCCUCUGAUACUGUCUGACUAGAGUGUAGUUGCGGAAGGCGGAAUGUGUGGUGUAGCGGUGAAAUGCUUAGAUAUCACACAGAACACCGAUUGCGAAGGCAGCUUUCCAAGCUAUUACUGACGCUGAGGCACGAAAGCGUGGGGAGCGAACAGGAUUAGAUACCCGGGUAGUC